CCCUAGUAACUGCGAGUGAAGCGGGAAAAGCUCAAAUUUAAAAGCUGGUAGUCUCAGGCUGCCCGCGUUGUAAUCUAGAGAAGUGUUAUCCGCGCUGGACCGUGUACAAGUCUCCUGGAAUGGAGCGUCAUAGAGGGUGAGAAUCCCGUCUUUGACACGGACUGCCAGGGCUUUGUGAUGCGCUCUCAAAGAGUCGAGUUGUUUGGGAAUGCAGCUCAAAAUGGGUGGUAAAUUCCAUCUAAAGCUAAAUAUUGGCGAGAGACCGAUAGCGAACAAGUACCGUGAGGGAAAGAUGAAAAGAACUUUGGAAAGAGAGUUAAACAGUACGUGAAAUUGCUGAAAGGGAAACGCUUGAAGUCAGUCGCGUUGUCCGGGGAUCAACCUUGCUUUUGCUGGGCGUAUUCUCCGGUUGACGGGCCAGCAUCAAUUUUGGCCACUGGAAAAAGGCCAGGGGAAUGUGGCAUCUUCGGAUGUGUUAUAGCCCUUGGUUGCAUACAGUGGCUGGGAUUGAGGAACUCAGCACGCCGCAAGGCCGGGUUUUUAACCACGUUCGUGCUUAGGAUGCUGGCAUAAUGGCUUUAAUCGACCCGUCUUGAAACACGGACCAAGGAGUCUAACAUGCCUGCGAGUGUUUGGGUGGAAAACCCGAGCGCGUAAUGAAAGUGAAAGUUGAGAUCCCUGUCGUGGGGAGCAUCGACGCCCGGACCAGACCUUUUGUGACGGAUCUGCGGUAGAGCAUGUAUGUUGGGACCC
Molecule: ribosomal RNA, 753 nt
Filed under: Galerina calyptrata
Lineage: Eukaryota; Fungi; Basidiomycota; Agaricomycetes; Agaricales; Galerinaceae
Description: eukaryotic LSU rRNA
Rfam family: Eukaryotic large subunit ribosomal RNA
Source: RNAcentral